UACGUAGGGGGCAAGCGUUAUCCGGAUUUACUGGGUGUAAAGGGAGCGUAGGUGGUAUGAUAAGUCAGAUGUGAAAGCCCGGGGCUCAACCCCGGGACUGCAUUUGAAGUUAUCAAACUAGAGUGCAGGAGAGGUAAGUGGAAUUCCUAGUGUAGCGGUGAAAUGCGUAGAUAUUAGGAGGAACACCAGUGGCGAAGGCGACUUACUGGACUGUAACUGACACUGAGGCUCGAAAGCGUGGGGAGCAAACAGG
This 253-nucleotide ribosomal RNA is filed under the name uncultured Lachnospiraceae bacterium. RNAcentral's name for it is "partial 16S ribosomal RNA". It matches the Rfam family "Bacterial small subunit ribosomal RNA", at positions 524 to 776 of the family's 1533-position model. Lineage: Bacteria; Bacillati; Bacillota; Clostridia; Lachnospirales; Lachnospiraceae. The record is from RNAcentral.